RNAcentral lists this small RNA (78 nucleotides) under Methylobacterium brachiatum. Its description in RNAcentral is "suhB". It matches the Rfam family "Makes More Granules Regulator RNA (mmgR)". From Rfam's summary of the family: SuhB later renamed mmgR (makes more granules regulator) was a putative non-coding RNA found multiple times in the Agrobacterium tumefaciens genome and related alpha-proteobacteria. Other non-coding RNAs uncovered in the same analysis include: speF, ybhL, metA, and serC. Lineage: Bacteria; Pseudomonadati; Pseudomonadota; Alphaproteobacteria; Hyphomicrobiales; Methylobacteriaceae. The record is from RNAcentral.
UCCCGCCACCCUUCCCAAGGGUGUCUCCUCCCAAGACUUCGGGCCGCCCCCUCGGGGGUGGCCUUUUUUGUCUCGGCA